This 609-nucleotide ribosomal RNA is filed under the name uncultured bacterium. RNAcentral describes it as "bacterial SSU rRNA". It matches the Rfam family "Bacterial small subunit ribosomal RNA", at positions 338 to 946 of the family's 1533-position model. The record is from RNAcentral.
CCUACGGGAGGCAGCAGUAGGGAAUAUUGGGCAAUGGAGGCAACUCUGACCCAGCCAUGCCGCGUGCAGGAAGACGGUCCUCUGGAUUGUAAACUGCUUUUGAAUGGGAAGAAUGUGCUCCUUGCGAGGGGUAAUGACGGUACCAUUAGAAUAAGCCACGGCUAACUACGUGCCAGCAGCCGCGGUAAUACGUAGGUGGCGAGCGUUAUCCGGAUUUAUUGGGUUUAAAGGGUGCGUAGGCGGCUUAAUAAGUCGGUGGUUAAAAGUAGCAGCUUAACUGUUUUACAUGCCAUCGAUACUGUUGAGCUUGAGAUAUUUGGAGGCAGCUAGAAUUUCCGGUGUAGCGGUGAAAUGCAUAGAUACCGGAAGGAAUACCAAUUGCGAAGGCAGGUUGCUACGAAUAAACUGACGCUGAUGCACGAAAGCGUGGGGAUCAAACAGGAUUAGAUACCCUGGUAGUCCACGCCGUAAACGAUGAUUACUAGUUGUUGGGGUUUAAGCCUCAGUGACCAAGGGAAACCGAUAAGUAAUCCACCUGGGGAGUACGCCGGCAACGGUGAAACUCAAAGGAAUUGACGGCUGNGAGNGCGAGCGACGACGAGGGAGAGG